CGCUAACUAACAGGGGAGAGGGGAGGAGAAGGGGGGGAGAAGCAGGAGGGAGUAGCGUUAGGUGUUUGGUUUGGUGGCUUCGCUCCUUCCUUGUUCGUUUCCUUGGGCAGCGUGUUAAUUGGCGUGCGUUGCCUUCUCCGCUCGCUCUCUGUUUCUCUCUCUUUCUUGGAUGGAUGGAUGGUCACGUGCGGCGCGACUGCUUGAUUGCUCCCCCUCCCCUCCCAGCACUAGUAGUACUAGUACCAGCACUGUAGAAGAAGAAGUAGUGGUGCUAUCUAUAUAUGCAAUGUCGGCGAGGAGGUGAAGCUGACAGUGAAACUGGUCCGUCAGAAAGAGAAAAGCAGAAAUUUCCACGAAUAUCACACUCACCGAUGUGGAUUCUUCUUCCCAUCCUUCCUUGUAGCAGCAGGUCAUGGUCGAGGGAGGGCCGUGUGAUCAUGAUUGGACACCGAUCCCUA
RNAcentral lists this long non-coding RNA (458 nucleotides) under Triticum aestivum (bread wheat). RNAcentral's name for it is "long non-coding RNA (TAES_LNC014664)". The record is from RNAcentral. Lineage: Eukaryota; Viridiplantae; Streptophyta; Magnoliopsida; Poales; Poaceae.